UAAGGUUCCUGAAGGGUUGUUGGAGACUACGACGUAGAUAGGCAGGGUGUGUAAGCGUUGUGAGGCGUUGAGCUAACCUGUACUAAUUGCCCGUGAGGCUUAACCAUACAACACCCAAGGGGUUUUAG
This 128-nucleotide ribosomal RNA is filed under the name Photobacterium gaetbulicola. RNAcentral describes it as "partial 23S ribosomal RNA". The stretch from base 1 to 107 matches the Rfam family "Bacterial large subunit ribosomal RNA", at positions 2819 to 2925 of the family's 2925-position model. The record is from RNAcentral. Lineage: Bacteria; Pseudomonadati; Pseudomonadota; Gammaproteobacteria; Vibrionales; Vibrionaceae.